UACGUAGGGUCCGAGCGUUGUCCGGAAUUACUGGGCGUAAAGAGCUCGUAGGUGGUUUGUCGCGUUGUUCGUGAAAACUCACAGCUUAACUGUGGGCGUGCGGGCGAUACGGGCAGACUUGGGUACUGCAGGGGAGACUGGAAUUCCUGGUGUAGCGGUGGAAUGCGCAGAUAUCAGGAGGAACACCGGUGGCGAAGGCGGGUCUCUGGGCAGUAACUGACGCUGAGGAGCGAAAGCGUGGGGAGCGAACAGG
This 253-nucleotide ribosomal RNA is filed under the name uncultured bacterium. RNAcentral describes it as "partial 16S ribosomal RNA". It matches the Rfam family "Bacterial small subunit ribosomal RNA", at positions 524 to 776 of the family's 1533-position model. The record is from RNAcentral.